AUUGAACGCUGGCGGCAGGCCUAACACAUGCAAGUCGAACGGUAGCACAGAGAGCUUGCUCUCGGGUGACGAGUGGCGGACGGGUGAGUAACGUCUGGGAAACUGCCCGAUGGAGGGGGAUAACUACUGGAAACGGUAGCUAAUACCGCAUAACGUCGCAAGACCAAAGUGGGGGACCUUCGGGCCUCACACCAUCGGAUGUGCCCAGAUGGGAUUAGCUAGUAGGUGGGGUAAUGGCUCACCUAGGCGACGAUCCCGAGCUGGUCUGAGAGGAUGACCAGCCACACUGGAACUGAGAACCGGUCCAGACUCCUACGGGAGGCAGCAGGGGGGAAUAUUGCACAAUGGGCGCAAGCCUGAUGCAGCCAUGCCGCGUGUAUGAGGAAGGCCUUCGGGUUGUAAAGUACUUUCAGCGGGGAGGAAGGCGGUGAAGUUAAUAACUUCACCGAUUGACGUUACCCGCAGAAGAAGCACCGGCUAACUCCGUGCCAGCAGCCGCCGUAA
Molecule: ribosomal RNA, 504 nt
Filed under: uncultured bacterium
Lineage: Bacteria
Description: partial 16S ribosomal RNA
Rfam family: Bacterial small subunit ribosomal RNA
Source: RNAcentral